GCACCUUAAGCUGUUUGCAAUCCACCAAAGAAAUCCCAGAGAAGAAGAAGAGAAGAACCCCCUUCCCUAACAGGUGUCCUGCAACAAACAAAGGGCUGCAGCAGAGACACCUGCAAUAGAGUGACAGCUUGCAAAAGGAUGACAGGGAGAUCUACUGUUUUCAAACAUGAACUUGGUUUCCUGAGUGCACACAUCAGACACAUCUAGUGUUUGAAACAGACUUCUGCUUUUAUCUCAUGCAGACCUCGUUCACCUCAG
This is a non-coding RNA of Labrus bergylta (ballan wrasse), 258 nucleotides long. The record is from RefSeq and is a predicted model, not a curated record. Lineage: Eukaryota; Metazoa; Chordata; Actinopteri; Labriformes; Labridae.